UACGUAGGGUGCGAGCGUUAAUCGGAAUUACUGGGCGUAAAGCGUGCGUAGGCGGCUUUUUAAGUCAGAGGUGAAAGCCCACGACUCAAUCGUGGAACUGCCUUUGAGACUGGAUCGCUUGAAGAUGGGAGAGGUUAGUGGAAUUCCGAGUGUAGAGGUGAAAUUCGUAGAUAUUCGGAAGAACACCAGUGGCGAAGGCGGCUAACUGGACCAUUCUUGACGCUGAGGGACGAAAGCGUGGGGAGCAAACAGG
RNAcentral lists this ribosomal RNA (253 nucleotides) under uncultured bacterium. RNAcentral describes it as "partial 16S ribosomal RNA". It matches the Rfam family "Bacterial small subunit ribosomal RNA", at positions 524 to 776 of the family's 1533-position model. The record is from RNAcentral.